Long non-coding RNA from Calidris pugnax (ruff), 1138 nucleotides. RefSeq lists it as uncharacterized. Lineage: Eukaryota; Metazoa; Chordata; Aves; Charadriiformes; Scolopacidae. The record is from RefSeq and is a predicted model, not a curated record. The transcript is spliced from 3 exons.
GGGAAGAAAUUGAUGCUUUUAGUUAGCCAAAUUCAAGUACCUGUUCUACCAGACUCAGCCAAGAGAGCUACAUCUCUUCUGCUUUUGAGACAGAGUCCUCCUCUAAGAGCAAGACUUAGGACAAUGGGACAAACAGUUUGUUACAAGGAAGAAAGACCACAUCAACACUAACGGAAUUCUAAGUGCCACUCGAUGAGCCAACACCCCCAGUACGCAUCGGUCUCCCCACGAGCUGAUCCUGCCCAGCCUGUGAAGGAGAGGGCAAGACAAGAGGCUGCUUCUUUGGCUAGAGAAGGAGGAAAACGAUGGCAGGUUCCAAGAAGAGCUGGAACUAGAUUUAAGCAGCCGGACAAACUCUACCGAUGACCAAAGUGACAGCUGUGAUGAGAAGUGCAUCAAGACCACCAGCCACCAACAACCCCUUUUCUGAAGGCCCAGCUGGUCAACUCCACCACUGCAGCGGCGCUUCACCAGGGAGACCUUCCACCCAGGCUCUGCUGAGCAAGCACACAUCCUCCACUUGGCAUCUUCUCUUCUCCUUCUUCUUCUUCUUCUCUUCUCUUUCUCUUCUCUGACACCUUGCCCUCCUCUCCCCAAAAGCGUGAUUUCAGUAACAGUGACCCCUCACUGCAAAGAAGCAACCCCAGAAAGUGCUGAGGAGACGAAAAGGGUGAACACCAGCUGACACAUUCUGCCUGCGGUGUCUUCUGGGCACUACUCUGAAGGUACAGGUCAUCCUUGCUUUUCAGAGCCAGCAGACUUCCAAACAAGCAUAAAGACAGGCCUAAAACCCAAGAUGAUUAAGCAGGCCCAGUGCAUUGUUAGGAGGAACACCAAGAAUUGUGUCUUAUUAUUUUAUUAAACCUUCUUCUCCUUCCCUUCCUACAACGAGAAGCAGAUCUAAAAUCCCCUCUAAGGUUUUACAGUAUUGGAAAUCUUCACAUCUUCAUCUGGUUUCAAUAAAGUCUAGUUGUCUGAAAGCUGGUGUUCUUCCCAACCUACUUUAUUUUCAGAACAGAAGAUGGGAUGCAACACCGAGGAGGAAAUCUGCAAAUCGAAGAGGGGUAAGACUUUGAGAGGGUGGCAUUACAGCGUGAAAAUGUAUUUUCCCUUUAUCAAAAGCAAAAGCAAGCCUACA